UCCAACACCUGAAGGCUGGACUUCUGGGCCUUGUGAUCAGACAGCUGGGAUUAUGAGUCUCAUCGAGAAACUCUAUGGCCAUCAUCCUUCAGUGGACUGGAGCCUACAGAAAGUGUCCAAAAGGCAUUGUUUAUGCAAGAGUCUCUGGCUGUGCAAUAAGCAGGUUCAAAUGGUCAUGUGGUUGGGCAAGAUAACUGGAUCUAAUUACUGAGAGUCCCUGACAGAAGUGUCUGAGUUGAGAAAUCCAUCUGAAGAAUUCCCAGGUGCUUAUUACAAUAUUUACAAAAAAAAACUGAGCAUGAGCGUGGGGCCUGUGAAGCUCCGAGGUGAUGAGGAUGCUCUUUCUUUCACUGUAAGGAAUGAGAAACUGGAGCUGAGAAUGAAAAUCUUCACGAGCAUUUUCUAC
Molecule: long non-coding RNA, 406 nt
Filed under: Vulpes vulpes (red fox)
Lineage: Eukaryota; Metazoa; Chordata; Mammalia; Carnivora; Canidae
Description: lncRNA (ENSVVUG00000014554.1)
Source: RNAcentral